Molecule: transfer RNA, 64 nt
Filed under: Staphylinidae sp. BMNH 1274219
Lineage: Eukaryota; Metazoa; Arthropoda; Insecta; Coleoptera; Staphylinidae
Description: tRNA-Phe
Source: RNAcentral
AUUUAAAUAGCUUAAUAAGAGUAUGACUUUGAAGAAGUUAUGGUGAUUUUAUAAUCUUUAAAUA